Molecule: long non-coding RNA, 1490 nt
Filed under: Chrysolophus pictus (golden pheasant)
Lineage: Eukaryota; Metazoa; Chordata; Aves; Galliformes; Phasianidae
Description: lncRNA (ENSCPIG00010008264.1)
Source: RNAcentral
AGCCGGUUCUUACAGCACUUCAUUAGUAUAUGCCAGCGUAAGGUGACACUGUCAUUCUGCUUUGCUUUGUGUUAGCAGCAAGUUUGGUGACGCUUCCUUGUUCUUGUGAUCCAUCAUAUAUUUUGUGAUAUUUAUUGCUUUAUAAAUGUUGGUGGUCAUAUGAGAAUCCGUCAUAUGAGCUAUCCGUUUCUAUGCUGUUUCUAGGCCUCACGGUCAGAGGGAUAUGUUUAGGGCCCUCCUGUGAGCCUGAAUACAAGGAUAUCAGAAGACAAAUAGACCUUCAGCAAAGCUACAGCAACCAAAUGGACCGUGCUGUGCAAAACCCAACGUCAUGUGAGUUAAACAUCCCCCUCUGGUGCUGGAGAGUUCAGCUAAAGAGCAAACAAUUGGUAAACACCAGCAGCUGAAAGUGGGUGUUCUUUUGCUUUCUUCAUGGCAACAGCCCAGCAGACUGACGGAGAUCAAAAAUUACCUUAUCACCUGAAGGUCUGUGGAGAAGCCAAGAGAUGUUGAAACCUCCCACCACCUCCAACAUCAAAGGCUGCAGCAGCUUACUGAGAACCCCUUGUCUGAAAAGAUGCAGGCUGCUUUCUGAUCUGUACCUUUGUGCAGGGAGAAUUCAGAGUUCCUGGUGCAGUCCCGUUGUGCUAUGGUCGCCUCCUUUAGAGUUCACUGUAUUAAAGAUGAAGGUGCAGUUGAUCACCGAGUGGGACACAACUGAACUUCCAGAGAAGAUCUUUCAGUUAGCACGUAUCUAAUAUUCAACAGGGCAUGAAUCUACUUUGCUAUAAAGUGAGCUGCCUUAUUCUCUGUGGAGUUAGAUGCUUGUGUUUUGGUUUUUGGCAGAAAUGGAAAGUAUUAUUUAUAGGCAUAUUUCUACACUCCCCUCCAAAAUCCAGACUAUUUUAUUGGUCUCCAGCUAUUCCUCAGAAGCCUUCAAAGAUACAUUUGAUGUACUGCAGUGCCUACGGUAAACACCCGACUUACCAGGUCGAGUCUUGCAGGUUAGAUUAGGCUUCAUAAUUUAUAGACCUUGAAGCUCCCCAUGCAGUUGGGUAUCUAUAAAAUGAAGGACUAAGUGCAUGAAAAAAACAAUCUUCCACAAGGAUGGGGUAGCGAAAGGGUGCACAGUGUGAGACUUAGUAGUAAUUGUAGUAGAGUUGUCCUUGAAGAUUUGCAGAAUGUAGUGAAGGUGAUCUUGAGAUUGUGGAUGAAGGGUGGAUAUUAGGAAACAUUUCUUCUCAGAAAGAGCGGUGAGGCGCUGGCAUAGGCUGCCCAGGGUGUGAUAGAGUCACUGUCUCUGGAAAUGUUCAAGAAAAGGGUGAAUGUCACACUGAGUGGCAUUGUCUAGAGCAGUUAUAUGUAUGGCUUAAUAGUUUGACUAGAUGAUCUUAGAGGUUUUUCUGAUCUUAAUGAUUCUAUGAUUCUGUGAUUCUAUGAAGUGCAAAGAGCUCAUGAAAGAAAACUGUUACAGGGUCAUGCAGGGGUAG